Molecule: ribosomal RNA, 398 nt
Filed under: uncultured microorganism
Description: bacterial SSU rRNA
Rfam family: Bacterial small subunit ribosomal RNA
Source: RNAcentral
GAGUUUGAUCGUGGCUCAGAUUGAACGCUGGCGGCAGGCUUAACACAUGCAAGUCGAGCGGAGAUGAGGUGCUUGCACCUUAUCUUAGCGGCGGACGGGUGAGUAAUGCUUAGGAAUCUGCCUAUUAGUGGGGACAACAUUCCGAAAGGGAUGCUAAUACCGCAUACGUCCUACGGGAGAAAGCAGGGGAUCUUCGGACCUUGCGCUAAUAGAUGAGCCUAAGUCGGAUUAGCUAGUUGGUGGGUAAAGGCCUACCAAGGCGACGAUCUGUAGCGGGUCUGAGAGGAUGAUCCGCCACACUGGGACUGAGACACGGCCCAGACUCCUACGGGAGGCAGGCAGUGGGGAAUAGUUGGACAAUGGGGGGGAACCCUGGAUCCAGCCAUGCCGCGUGUGUG